GGCCUUGUGGCGCAAUGGUAGCGUGCUGUCUUCCGGUGGCAGUGGUUGCGGGUUCGAGUCCCGCCAGGGUCU
This is a transfer RNA of Nadsonia fulvescens var. elongata DSM 6958, 72 nucleotides long. It matches the Rfam family "tRNA". From Rfam's summary of the family: Transfer RNA (tRNA) molecules are approximately 80 nucleotides in length. Their secondary structure includes four short double-helical elements and three loops (D, anti-codon, and T loops). Further hydrogen bonds mediate the characteristic L-shaped molecular structure. tRNAs have two regions of fundamental functional importance: the anti-codon, which is responsible for specific mRNA codon recognition, and the 3' end, to which the tRNAs corresponding amino acid is attached (by aminoacyl-tRNA synthetases). tRNAs cope with the degeneracy of the genetic code in two manners: having more than one tRNA (with a specific anti-codon) for a particular amino acid; and 'wobble' base-pairing, i.e. permitting non-standard base-pairing at the 3rd anti-codon position. The record is from Rfam. NCBI's taxonomy places the organism in Eukaryota, Fungi, Ascomycota, Dipodascomycetes, Dipodascales.